AUGGCGGCGGCGGUGGGACGUGCGGGUCCCCGGCCGCGGGCUGCUCCUGCGCCCCGACCCUCCGCUCCCGCCGCGCGCCGGCYGGGCGCUCGCAAAUUCAAAAUGGCCUUUCCGCACCGCUCCUGCAGCCGCCGCUUAACAUCUGCCGUUUCCACAGUAACCCGGCGGCUGGCGGCGCGCGGAGAGGGGCGGCACGCAGCCGGCGCCGCCUCGCUCCCGUCCCAGCCAUCCUCCGGGCGAUGCAACCCCGGCCGGGCAAAGCCCCCGGGGCCGGCGCUCCCUCCCCGCUGGGGUUAUCCCGCCCGGCGGCGCGGCUCCGGGUGUCSGCAGGAGCCAGGAUGCCGCUCGGAGCAUCGCUCCCCGGGGGUUUGCAAAUCACGGAGGAUGCCGGCUUAUUUGCAUCCACGUGCUCAGUGCAGCAGAAACACCGCAGCGAGCGGAUUAAGCCCUUCAAGGCAACGGUCUUUUCGCCGGCUUUUCUCAGCCCGCCUCAUCCAUCGCUGCCCGGCGCGGCACCAGCRGACGCCUCAUUUUGGAGCGGACGCUCCGGCGUGGAAACCCAGCCCCCAGGAUGGCGGUGAAAUGAAGACGGAUAACAGCAGCCUCUCCGCUGGCAGGGCGCUGCGGAGCCUCGCAAGCGGGAUAUUCUCCAGCGGCAGGGGCGGCUCUCCGCGGCCGCACGGGGAGAUGGAGCCGCCGGGACGCGGGCGCACGUGCGGGAGGGUGCGUGCAAGAGCUGCCGGUUGUGAGGCCGGCCGGAGGGGAGCCAGGAGGACGGCUGCUCCCGCGGCGGCAGGCGCCUUGUGGCCUCGCUCGGAGCUAAUCCGCGCCGCACAGGCUGCCUCCCGCGCAGCAUCCCGGGAUGAGCCGCGGGGGAAUCGCCACCUAAUCCCCAGUGGAUGGGUGCCAGCAUCCCUCCAGCCUCCGGUGCAUCUGUCCCUGGCGCGGCUGGUCUCCGCUUCCAGGGCUGGGAAGUGCCGGAUCAGCCGCUCGCGCGAUGCCAAACACCGUCAUUGGCGUAUUAAUGCCCCAAUUUGCACACGCGCACGAGGGGCGCAGGAGCCAGGAGGGGAGGCCACGACGCGGAUGGGACAUCCCAACCGGACCGGCUCCGUCAGACGGCCCGAGGGAGCCGCGAGGGGCUGGUGGCCCCGGGCAGAGGGUGCUUCCAGCCCGCCGGGCUGCAGCCGGAGAGGCCCGAGCGGAGACGCCGAGGCUGGAGGGGGAACCGCAAGYGCAAACCGCGGGCUGCACCCGAGGGGCCGCAGCGGGAGCGGAGGGGCCGAGCGCGGCCCCGGCCGAGGCUGCCGCCAAUCCCGCUGCGGCGCAGCACAGCCCCGGGAGCGGGCACGGCGGCGGCGGCGGCAGCGGGACAGGCGGCGCGGGGGGGGAAGCUUUGAGGAAUUAAUGAGCCUGGUGGGAGGAAGUGCUAAAAUCCACCAGGAGAGGAGGCAGCAGGAGAAUCCUAAACAAAUCCGCCACGAUCACAUCUGCGAGGCUACGGCUGAAACGGAGACUGCAAGGAAGGGGCUGCAGAGAGCGCGGAGGCUUAGAGACCCCCGCGGGAGAGGAGAGGAGAUGCAGAGGGAGCCCGCCAAGGAGCUCAGCUUCGUCAAGGACGAACGUGGCGGGAGCAAACCGGACCCGCUGGGCGGUGGGCUUGUGCACGUACCCCCCGCCACGGCACAGCCGUGGGUCCACGUGCCAACAGCGACCACAGGUCUGCCAUGCCGAUGCUGCGUGCUCGUGGCAAGAGCCRACCUCUGCCCAGCACUAAUUCCACCCUAA
This 1788-nucleotide long non-coding RNA is filed under the name Apteryx haastii (Great spotted kiwi). Its description in RNAcentral is "lncRNA (ENSAHAG00000002922.1)". Lineage: Eukaryota; Metazoa; Chordata; Aves; Apterygiformes; Apterygidae. The record is from RNAcentral.